UAAAGGGUGCGUAGGCGGCCUGUUAAGUCAGGGGUGAAAGACGGUAGCUCAACUAUCGCAGUGCCCUUGAUACUGAUGGGCUUGAAUUGACUAGAGGUAGGCGGAAUGUGACAAGUAGCGGUGAAAUGCAUAGAUAUGUCACAGAACACCGAUUGCGAAGGCAGCUUACUAUGGUCUUAUUGACGCUGAGGCACGAAAGCGUGGGGAUCAAACAGGAUUAGAUACCCUUG
Molecule: ribosomal RNA, 230 nt
Filed under: uncultured bacterium
Lineage: Bacteria
Description: partial 16S ribosomal RNA
Rfam family: Bacterial small subunit ribosomal RNA
Source: RNAcentral